This 467-nucleotide ribosomal RNA is filed under the name uncultured bacterium. Its description in RNAcentral is "partial 16S ribosomal RNA". It matches the Rfam family "Bacterial small subunit ribosomal RNA", at positions 28 to 507 of the family's 1533-position model. The record is from RNAcentral.
GGUGAACGCUGGCGGCGUGCCUAGGACAUGCAAGUCGAGCGGCGCAGGUUUAUACCUGUUCUGCGGCGGACGGGUGGGUAACGCGUGGGUGACCUACCCGGGAGAUGCGGACAACCUGGGGGAACCCAGUCUAAUCCCCCAUGCGAUCCUGUCCUGCGGGCCAGGGCUAAAAGGACGACCCCCUUCCGGAUGGGCCCGCGUCCCAUCAGCUAGUUGGUGGGGCAAAGGCCCACCAAGACGACGCCCGGUAGCCGGUCUGCGAGGAUGGCCGGCCACAGGGGGACUGAGACACGGGCCCCACUCCUACGGGGGGCAGCAGGUAGGAAUCUUCCGCAAUGGACGGAAGUCUGACGGUGCGAGGAGGAGUGGAGGGGGAAGCACAGCGGGGUGUAAACUCCUGAACUGGGGACGAAAGACCCGUGGAGGGGGAUGACGGUACCCAGGUAAUAGCGCCGGCCAACUCCGUG